CAGUAACUUACAAGCAGAUACUUUUAAGUAUAUAGGUAACAGAACGAUAAUAAAAUAACGAAAAUGUAAAAUCUUAAUUAGGGAAUCAUUUAUUAAAAAUCGAUGAAAAAAAGUACUUAAUAUAUAUGCACCCUUAAAAUUUAAGAGAUUAGUAAUUAUUAACAAUGUUUUUGAUUUUGUGACAGUUAUAACGUAUUAUAACAAUAAUUAAAAUAUAUCCUACAGGAAUAAAAAAGUCAUUUACAAAUUAGGGCGUCACAAAAUUAUUUUAAUAAUACUUAUGAUCUGACUUCACAGCUGUUAAGUGCUUGCUUCUUAUAUAUAUAAAAUAAAUGGAAAAAAAUAAAGACUAAAAUGUGCAAUAUGGUAGAAAAUAUGAAAAAAGAUCCAGAAACGACACAGCUGUAAAAAUGAUACGAGAAUUCCUUUUUUUUAGCAUUAUCAAUAAAACCCAACGAUAUUUGCAUUUAAAAUCUGUACAGUGUUAAAUAUUUUUUUUUAAUAGUUAAACGAAACUAUUUCAACACACGACGAUCUAUGCAAGCUGCUUAGCUAUAGUAAUUCUAAAACAGAGAGAACAAUCAGGUUGUCACUCUAACCUAAUUUUACCCUAUUGACGUUCAAGAUCUGAAACACGAGGUCAUAAAUUCAACAACUAAAUAUAUAAAGAAAGGUCUGAAAAAAGUUAAUAACCUGUUCAUAAAAUAUCUCAUGGGUGCUUUAAAAGGUGCUAA
This is a long non-coding RNA of Aricia agestis (brown argus), 734 nucleotides long. RefSeq lists it as uncharacterized. Lineage: Eukaryota; Metazoa; Arthropoda; Insecta; Lepidoptera; Lycaenidae. The transcript is spliced from 2 exons. The record is from RefSeq and is a predicted model, not a curated record.